Long non-coding RNA from Saccostrea cuccullata (small rock oyster), 993 nucleotides. RefSeq lists it as uncharacterized. The transcript is spliced from 2 exons. The record is from RefSeq and is a predicted model, not a curated record. NCBI's taxonomy places the organism in Eukaryota, Metazoa, Mollusca, Bivalvia, Ostreida, Ostreidae.
AAUAACAUUUAGAUAUUUAACACAGGGCAUAGAAUUAAAUGACAACAAUAGCAACACGAGUACAAGUCUAUUUACAGAUCCUGAACCGCUACUCUCCUUAAUUCGACUUUAAACUAAGACACGUCAAAACUGAUUGACUUUGUUUAAUAAAAUUGAUAGUCUCAUUUAAAUAUUUAUAUAUGAACAAUUAAUAAUGCAACACGCAGUCAUUGUUUACGUAUCACAUACCACGACCGUAGUUGGUAUGCAGAUUUGUUUUCAUUAUUCGAUAGAUACAUCAUGAAGGUGCUAGGUGUAUUAAGUGUCUAUGUGGUUUUUGUACAACUAAGCAUAUGGGAGACGGCGGAUACCAUUUUGCCACCCCAUCAGUUCAAUUUGUUGUUUCCCCCAACGCGUCGACCACCUAAAAACCCUUAUGCAGCAAUUUUAAUCCAGAAGAUGGCAUGUGAAGCAUGUAGAAAUAUGACUACCAAAAAUUGUAAUUACUUUUGCUUCUCUACUGUUCCAGGAAAGUAUCGCCCACUUACUUCUUUGCAAAAGUUAUCUCCAUUCACAACGUCAGACAACGAUCAACAAGUAUUUGGAAUUCCAAAAGUAAUAAAUGAAAGUCAAACCUUCCCCUCUGUCAUUCCUGUAAAUGGCUUUAAAAACCAACUUGAGUCUUACAUAAACAACGUUGAUGUGCAAAACUUUAUUGAUGUUUCAACUGUAGCAAGUAGAAAACGGUAAAAAUACUUAAGUGGCACACUACUUGUAUCUAAAAGAAUUCAUUUUUGUAAAUUUUUUUGAUUUGUGCUUUAUUUUAUUCAUGGGACAGUAUUUUGAUUUUUAUUUCUUUGUAUCUGAUGUACAUUUUUAUGACAUCAUAUCUUCUUUGUAUAUUUGUUACCACUGCAUGUAGAAGGAUGUUUCUGUUCAACCAUCCGUAAUUAUCAGGCUGACAUAUUACCUUGCUUUGGAAGAGUAUCAAUAAAUGAGUUAACGCACAAAUAA